Molecule: small nuclear RNA, 104 nt
Organism: Manis pentadactyla (Chinese pangolin)
Lineage: Eukaryota; Metazoa; Chordata; Mammalia; Pholidota; Manidae
Source: RefSeq, a predicted model, not a curated record
GUGUUUUUGCCAGAAACACAUAUACUAAAAUUGGAAUGAUACGGAGAAAGAUAAGCAUGGCCCCUCUACAAGGCAUGCGCAUUUAUGAAACAGUCUUUGUAUUU